Cervus elaphus (red deer) is the source of this 264-nucleotide long non-coding RNA. RefSeq lists it as uncharacterized. The transcript has 3 exons. The record is from RefSeq and is a predicted model, not a curated record. Lineage: Eukaryota; Metazoa; Chordata; Mammalia; Artiodactyla; Cervidae.
CUAACUGUUGCUUCUUGACCUGCAUACAGAUUUCUCAGGAGGCAGAAAAAGGAGAAGAAAAGAAACAAGAUCCCCAGGUGAUCACAUGCACCUUGCUGUUUGAGAACUGUUGACCCAAAACCAACAGCUUCAGAUGCCAACUGGAGGAGACUUGAACAUCACAGCAAACUUGUGGUUGCUGACACGAUUUUCUAAAAUGGUUGACUGGGCUUCACUGAGCAGUUCUCACUUGGGGUCUCUCAUGAAGUUGCAGUCAGAGGUCAG